CAUAUGGCGCCGUGAGGCGCCAACACCGUGGGCCCGCGUUUGUUUUGGACUCUGGGGACGGGGGGCAACACCGGCGUUGCUGGAAGGGCGGCCGCCCGGGGCGGGAGAGGCUACCGGAAAAGCACCUGCGCCUCGCCGCUAGCCCUGUGAGCUGCCGGGGUUCUGAACUCCCUGGCCCCUGGGGGUCGAGUCAGCAUUCGGUCCCAGAACUCGGCAGGCUGCGAGCUGGCAGGAGCCGGCACAGCUGGUGCGGAAACCCCCAGGAACUCCGCGGCUUCGCCCCGCGGCCCUUGCAAACAUAGAGGUGACUGCUCGCAAAACCCCCUUGCACACAUGGGAGCUGCCGGCUUCCAAAGCCCCCUUGCACACCUGGAGCUGCCGGCUUCCAAAGAUCCCUUGCACACAUGGAGCUGCCUGCUUCCCCGCCCACCCCAAGGCCGGGGCUGGGCUCCAGCGGUACUUUUUCAAUAGGCGGGGGUUGAGUUAGGGAAGCUCCCCGCCCAUAGGGGCUGGAGAAGGUGAGCAAGGGGGAGGGGCGGGAAGUCAGCAGGCAGGCUCGAUGAUUGGCUGAGUCUUUGAUGGAUGGGUAUUGUGUCCAAUGUUGGAACGAAGCUUGAGGUUUUUUUUUUUCCUCUGCGGGGCGGGGCGGUAUUUCCCUGGUAACGGAGAAGUGGCGGGUGGUAAAAGUGGUUGAGGUUUUCUCCAUCUUCCCUCCCUCCCUCCUUUCUAGUCUGGGCACCAGGUCUGUGACCGUUUCGUUAGCGGAGAGGUAGCUGCCAGUCAGCUUCGGUAGGCCUGUGCCCCCAGCCCUUCUGGCGGCCUCCGUGCUGAGCUCGCGGCUCACGCAGAGAGGGACGUGCAGUGACCGGCGGCCGAAGCAGCUUUGCGGUGAGAGCACGCGGGGCCGGGGUCGGCCGGGAGCCUGGUGGCGGGUAACGCCGCACUCUAGGAAUGAAGCGGCAUUUGGAUGACCAGGAGUCACUGUCGUAUGCAGCCCAGCAGUGUCAAAUCCCUGGCAGCACAGAGGCUUUCCUCACCGGCACCGGGUGCUUGCCCCCACCCCUCCUGUGAAUGAAGCAGUGGCAGAGACCAUGCAGUCAGCCCUGGGAAUUCAGUACUCUAACACCGAGCUACCAGGUAAGCUUGAGUCAACCUGAGAUUAACCCCCAUAUAGGCACUGAGAAGGGAGAGCUAAGCAGAAUCCUGGCACAAUUAAGAUCUGAAGAAUGUCUCCAUUUAUCGUAUUACUACUCAGUUAUUUCCCUUUAUAUAAUCCUCUAUAUGUAAUCAUAUAUUAGUUCAUAGAAUGAGUACCUAAAGAAUAUCUUACCACUCAGUUAUUUCCAUAUAUAUAUAUGGAUAUAUAGCUAUAAGAUAUAUGUAUAACUAUAUAUCAUAUAUAUGGAAAUAUAGUUUUAUGUAUAUAACUUUAUUUUAUAACUAUAUAUAAGAUAUAAUUAUAGUUAUAAGAUAUAGUUUUAUAUGUAUGUGUGUGUAUAUAUAAUACAUGUAUAAUAUCUUAGUUCGUAAUCAGAGGAAUGCCUAGAGUAGACAUGGCACAGAGCAUGAAUUAAGGAAUAAGCAGCUUAUAGUCGGACGAAUGUCUGGAGCAGAUACAGGGCAGAGCAUGAUUUAAGGGAAAACAGUUAUUAUACCAGGACAAGAAUCCAUGGCCCAGGCAGCAGUGUUCAAUAUCGUAAGAUACCCUCUGUAUGACAGGCUUGGGGCAAGAGCCACUCCUCUUGAUAAGGGAGUUGUAGGACCUUGCUCCAGUUCUUGUGGAGGGCUGCCCUCAGACCAGCAAUCCCUUGAGCAUCUGAGGGCUCAAAACCCCUCUGGAUAAUCGCACCUUAGAGACUGUGAACCUUAUCAGCUCUUGUUACUGUGCUGCUCGAAAAGCAUCUUCCUAUAGAACCCACUGGAAGCUGCCAGCAGGUGGCAGUAACCCUGACAGCUCUGUCACUGCUGUGUAACUUUAAGCAUCCUCCUAUAAAUCUUUUUAAGGUAGCUUGCCUAUAGAUAGAGGUAUUGCACACUGCACCCUCUUCACUGCACACGGCCCACCUCCAUGCCUUGGUGACCUAAUGGGGGUGGGCACCUGACUGCACAUGGCCCACUUCCUUACCUCAAUGAGCUAAUGGGAAUGGACCCCUUGCUGCACACUGUUCACCUUCUGGCCUAGGUGAUCUAAUGGGGAUGGACCCCUUAUUUUAUGGCUCACGAUCCUAUCACUAUCCUUAAAGAUGGCUUCACUCACUACCUUGCCCCAACCUAAACCCAAUAAUACUGACGCUUCUGGACAUUCAGGGCCUCACCUGACUCCACUUAUACAUGGCGUGGCCCCGCUGAACCCAGCUGUGUUUUCCUUGUACUUCUGUGUCCUGUCUCUAUUUCUCAGAUACUGCACAUCAGCACAGCAUAAGGGAUACCCCACAACCCUGUAGGGUUCUCAGCGCCACACAACCAAGGAACUAGAGUGAGGGAGGAGGAAUAGUGAUUUUUGGGCAAUUAGAAAACAUUUUGUAAUAUUGAGAUAUUAAAAAAUUGUGGAGUAUGUGUAAGGUUAAAAAAAAAUAACUUGUAUCCUCACCAUACAAGUUUUUGAAAAAAGAAUGUCAUUGUGGCCUUUGAAGUUCCCUGUGUAUCCUUCUCUGAUCCCUUCUUUCCCCUCCCUUCAGAGAUAGCCACUCAUCUAAACUUUGUGUUUAUCAUUCCCUUGACUUUAUUGACAAAAAAAAAAAAAAACUCUAACAUAAUUGUUUAGUUUUGGUAUUUUUUUUUUUUUGAGACAGAGUUUCACUCUUGUUACCCAGGCUGAAGUGCAAUGGCAUGAUCUCGGCUCACCGCAACCUCUGCCUCCUGGGUUUAGGCAAUUCUCCUGCCUCAGUCUCCUGAGUAGCUGGGAUUACAGGCAUGCACCACCCUGCCCAGCUAAUUUUUUGUAUUUUUAGUAGAGAUGGGGUUUCACCAUGUUGACCAGGAUGGUCUCGAUCUCUUGACCUCAUGAUCCACCCACCUUGGCCUCCCAAAGUGCUGGGAUUACAGGCUUGAGCCACUGUGCCCAGCUAGUUUUGGUAUUUUUGAAUUUUUAUAUAAAUGGAAACAUUUUCUUCUUUGGCUCACUUUUUAAAAAAAAACUCCAUAUUUAUAUAGUUAGCUGUAACUGUACCAUUUUCACUCUGGUAUAAACUAUAUGCAUAUAUUCAAUUUAUUUGUCAAUUCUACUGUUGGACUAUUGAGCCAUUUCCAGGUUUUUGCUUUUACAAAGGAGCUGUUGUGAACAUUCUGAUGUUCUCUUAGUGCAUUUAGUGGUAAUUUAUGACAAAAUAAGAAUCUUGUGCCAGAAUUUAAAUCAACACACUUAUUAAGACAGUUUUGCUGUUUAUUUGAAAAAGAAAAGCAGUUGAAUUAAACAUCAUUUUAGAGAAAUACAGCUAUCUCUUGGACAGUGUGAGGGUGGAUGCACUGACCCUCCCUCCAUGCAGUCAAAACCACAUGUAUAACUUUUUUUUAAGGAGACAGGGUCUUGCUCUGUGGCCCCUGCUGGGGUGCAGUGAUGUGAUCAUGGCUCAGUGCAGGCACAAAUACACAAAAUACAUACUAAUCAACCAUAUGUGUUAUUGGUAAAGCUUCUGGACAAUGAUAGGCUAUUUGUAUUUAAGUUCUGAGGGAGUGAAAAGUUAUACAUGGGCUGGACGAGUGAGUCGACUUGUCCCAGCUCUUUGGGAGGCUGAGAUGGGAGGAUAGCUUGGGGCCAAGAAUUUAGGACCAGGCUGGGCAAUAUAACAAGAACUCAUCUCUACAAAAAUCAUAAAAAUUAGCCAAGCAUGGUGGCGCCCACCUGUAGUCCUAGCUACUAGGGAGGCUGGGGCAUGGGAGGACUGCUUAAGCCCAAGACUUUGAGGCUGCAGUGAGGCUUCCUGCUUUGUUAUUGUGGCUCUUAAAUCUGUUCUCAACACAGCAGUCCAAGUGAUUCUUUUGAAACCUAAGUCAUACCAUUGUCAUUUCUCUGCUUAAAACCAUCUUGUGGCUUUACAUUUCAGUAUGAGUAUUAAACUGGAGUUCUUAUUAAGAUAUGUCUGUAAUCAUGGCACUUUGAGAGCUGAAAGGAGAGGAUCAUUUGAGGCCAGGAGUUUUGAGAUCAGCUUGGGCAUCAUUACAAGGCCCUGUCUCUAUAAAAAAAGAAAAAAAAGUAAAAAUAAAAUCUGGGCAUAGUGGCUCAUGCCUAUAAUCCCAGCACUUUGGGAGGCCGAGAAGGGCGAAUCACAAGUCAGUUUAAGACCAGCCUGGCCAAUAUGGUCUCUACUAAUACAAAAGUUAUCCGGGCUGAGUAGGAGAGAGAAGAAAGAUGAAGGGUUAGUCUGGCCAUCUCAUGGGUGGCAGAGGUGGGAGAAAAUCCACUUAUAAGUUGACUUGCAUUGUUGCUGGGUGCAGUGUCUCACACCUAUAAUCCCAACAUUUGGGGAAGCAUGAGGAUUGCCUGAGCCUGAGUUAGAGACCAGCCUGGGCAACAUAUCAAGACCCUGUCUCUUCUAAACAUAAACAAAGAUUAGCAGGGCAUAGUGGUGCACACUUGUGUUCAGCUACUUGGGAGAUUGAGGUGGGAGGAUCAUUUGAGCCUGGGAGGUAGAGGCUGCAGUGAAUAUGCUACUGCAUACCAGCAUGGGUGACAGAGUGCAAACUUGUCUCAAAAAGAAAUAAUUAAUUAAUUUGAAAAAAUAAAUAAAAAAUAAGCCAGGCAUAGUGGUAUAUCUGUAGUCCUAGCUACCCAGGAGACAGAGGUAAGAGGAUUGCUCAAGCCCAGGAAGUCAAGGCUGCAGUGAGCUAUGAUCAAGCCACUGUACUUCAGACUGGACAAUAGUGCAAGACCCCCUCUCCUUAAAAACGAAACAAAAACCCAUGUUAUUCAAAGGUCAGCCAUAGUUGGUUUACAUUGUGGUGCAAACUCCUUAUCCUGUUGCAAACCAGUCAGCAGGUUUGAGGACAUAGAGGAGUUUCUCAAUAACCUAUGAAAGGGAUUGCUGGGGUACCAAAUUGUGUUUAGAAAGUAUACCAAUUUAAAUUCCCUCAAGCAUUGUAUACUUCUCUCAUUCUGUGUCCUGACCAGCACUGAUCAUUCAUCUAUUACUGUUUUGUAGAAGUGAAGGAAUUUGGUUUUUGCCCUUUUUAUUAUGAAAGUAAUACAUCAGUUUGUUUAUUUUUAUUUUUUUAAGAUGGACUUUCACUCUUAUCGCCCAGGCUGGAGUGCAGUGGUGCAGUCUCAGCUCACUGUAACAUCUGCCUCCUGGCUUCAAGGGAUUCUCCUGCCUCAGCUUCCCAAAUAGCUAGAAUUAAAGGUACCCCCUGCCACACCCAGCUAAUUUUUUGUAUUUUUAGUAGAGAUGGGGUUUCGCCAUGUUGGCCAGGCUGGUCUCGAUCUCCUGACCUCAGGUGAUCCACCCGUCUCAGCCUCCCAAAGUACUGGGAUUACAGGCAUGAGCUACCACACCCAGCCUACUUUAUUUUAUUUGAGACAAAGUCUUGGUCUAUUGCCCAGGUUGGAAUGCAAUAACACAAUCUUGGCUCACUACAGCCUCCACCUGCUGGGUUGAAGCAGUUUUCCUGCUUCAGCCUCCGAAGUAGCUGGGAUCACAGGCGUGUUCCACCACGCCCAGCUAAUUUCUGUAUUUUUAGUAGAAAUAGGGUUUCACCAUGCUGGCCAGGCUGGUCUCGAACUCCUGACCUCAGGUAAUCUGCCUGCCUUGGCCUUCCAAAGUGCUGAGAAAACAGGAGUGAGCCACUGCACCUGGCCUUAUUUUAUUUUAUUUUAUUUUAUUUUUUUGAGAUGGAGCCUUGCUCUGUUGCCUUGGCUAGAAUGCUCCAUCAUUGAUUGAUGGAGACAGAGUCUCACUCUGUUGCCCAGGCUGGAGUGCGGUGGCAUGAUCUCAGCUCACUGCAACCUCUGCUUCCUGGGUUCAAGUGAUUCUCGUGCCUCAGCCUCUCGAGUAGCUAGGAUUACAAGUGCACACCACCAUGCCUGGCUAAUUUUUAUAUUUUUAGUAUAGACGGAGUUUUACCAUGUUAGCCAGGCUGGUCUUGAACUCCUGGUUUCAAGUGAUCUGCCCACCUCAGCUUCCCAAAGUGCUGGGAUUACAGGCAUGAGCCCUGUACCCAAGCCACACUUUGUUUUGUUUUGUUUUUUUAAAAAAGGAAAUAGGCUGGGUGCUGUGGCUCAAACCUGUAAUUUCAGCACUUUGGGAAGCCAAGGUGGGUGGAUCACAAGGUCAGGAAUUUGAGACCAGCCUGACCAACACUGUGAAACCCUGUCUCUACUAAAAAUAUAAGAAUUAGCUGGGCAUGGUCCUGGCACCUGUGAUCCCAGCUACUUGGGAUGCUAAGGCAGGGGAAUCACUUGAACCCAGGAGGCACAGGUUGCAGUAGCCAAGAUCAUGCCACUGCACUCCAGCCUGGGUGACAGAGUGAGACUGUCUCAAAAAACAAAGAAAAAAGCAGCAAAGUAAAAGUCGUCUUUAAUUCUGUAACCACAAGAUUAAAUGCUAACAUUUUACUAUAUAUUAGUUGUCUAGGGUUUAAAAUCUUUUUAUCAUACUGCUUCAUAAUAUGCUUUUAUUUAUUUUGAGAUGGGGUUUUGCUCUGUCACCCACUGUAGUGUGCUUUAAAAAUGAUUUAAAGGUUUAAUCUGUAUACAGUACGUGAAUACAUUCAACCUGUGGAUUAUGAACCUUUUUUUGAAGUUAAAAUAUAGCUAUCUAUAUUACUGCUACUGAAAGUGUGGCUUACAAAUGGCGAAUCUGUAUCCUGUGUUACUAGUCUAUAAUGACAUAGUAUAGAAAUUGAGAGCAUUUAGAAACUGUUCUAGUAAUUGGACAUUAUCAUUUUUUAUUUGUAAAAUUCAGUAAUGAAAGUUACAGCCUGGGCACGGUAGCUUAUUCCUGUAAUCCCAGCACUUUAGGAGGCCAAGGCAGGUGGACUGCAUGCCCAAGAGUUCGAGACCAGCCUGGGCAACAUGGUAAAACCCUGUUUCCACAAAAAGAAUGACAAGUAACCAGGCCUGGUGGUACGUGCCUGUAGUCCCAGCUACUCAGGAGGCUGGGGUGGGAGGAUCAUCGGAAUCUAGGGAGGUCAGGGCUGCAGUGAGCCAUGAUUGUACCACUGCAUUCCAGCCUGGGUGACAGGGUGGGACCCUAUCUCAAUAAAAAGAAAAGAAAAUUAGGCCGGACACGGUGGCUCAAGCCUGUAAUCCCAGCACUUUGGGAGGCCGAGGUGGGUGGAUCACAAGGUCAAGAGAUCGAGACCAUCCUGGUCAACAUGGUGAAACCCCAUCUCUACUAAAAAUACAAAAAAUUAGCUGGGCAUGGUGGUGCAUGCCUGUAAUCCCAGCUACUCAGGAAGCUGAGGCAGGAGAAUGCCUGAACCCAGGAGACAGAGGUUGCAGUGAGCCGAGAUUGCACCAUUGCACUCCAGCCUGGGUAACAAGAGUGAAACCCUGUCUUAAAAAAAAAAAAAAGAAAAGAAAAGAAAAUUACAGGUUUAUGUAUUUUUUAUUUCACUUUGACAAUAAUUUAUUUUUAUUGGAUUUUUAUACAAGUUGUAGUCCUUGGUGGAUUGGAAUUUUAAGAAAAAUACUCAUCCUUUACAACAGAUAGUUUGAGAUAAACCAUAUAAUUCUUGUUUCUUCUUUUUGGAGACAGAGUCUUGCUCUAUCAUCUAGGCAGGAAUGUAAUGGCAUGAUCUCAGCUCACUGCAACCCCCACCUCCUAGGUUCAAGUGAUUCUCGUGCCUCAGCCGUGACCUCACGUGUCACCAUGUCCAGCUAAUUUUUUUGGUCUUUUUAGUAGAGACAGGGUCUUGACAUGUUGGCCAGGCUGAUCUCGAGCUCCUGGACUCAAAUGAUUUGCCUGCCUAGACCUCCCAAAAUGCUGGUUAUAGGCAUGAGCCACUGUGCCCAGCUAAACAAUAUAAUUUUUAAUAGCUACAAAUAAUCCUAUUAUAACAUGGGUGGGCUGUAAUUUAUUUCUCCAGUUUCGUUUUUGAAAGUUUGAGUUUUUUUCUUUUCUUUCUUUCUUUUUUUUUUUUUUUCUUUUCUGACAGGGUCUCUCUUUGUCACCCAGGCCAGAGAGCAGUGGCAUGACCAUAGCUCACUGCAGCCUUGAACUCUGGGACUUGAGCAAUCCUCCUCCUUUAGCCUCUAGAGUAGGUGGAACCACAGGUGCCAGUUUUUUAUUUUUGUGGAGAUGGUGUCUCACUGUGUUGCCCAGCAGUCUUUCCUCUUUUUUCUCUUUUUAGAGGCACAGUCUAACUCUGUGGCCCAAGCUGGGGUGCCCCGGCAUGAUCAUAGCUCACUGCAGCCUUGAACUCCUGAGUUCAGGUGAUCUUCCCAUGUGGGUGAGACAGGUAUGAGCCAUCAUGCCCAGCAGAAAUUUGGGUUUCCAGUUAAUUAUCACUGUGCAUUUGUGUUAGUUAUUCAGACACGUUUGGGGAAGAAUGUACAAGCCUUGAAGUUUCCUGUCUGUAUGUUGUUCAUUCCAGGUUUCAGCUGUGCCAGAGAGCUCUGGCAUUUAUGGGCCCACCAUAGCAUCAGUUCAUAGCAGCCAUCAUCACCCAACAGCUGGGCAGCCCCACCAGUUUCAUUAGUGCCAGGACAGCACCAGUUUCAGAGGCUGAAGGUGGUAUUCAGCUCCUUUUCUUGGGUCAAAAAGUUUAUCUUUAGCAGGAAAUAUUGGCUGCAGCUCGUCAGUCAUGGUGGUACAACUUUUAACCUGAGAUACUAGGUGUCAAAUCACAGUUUUUCUUUGUUUUUGUUUUGUGAAAUUUGCUUAUGUUUUCUAUCUUGGCACCAGUGCCUGAUCCAGAGAAGAAUAUACUCAAAUGUUUGUGGACUGUAUGAAUGCAUGCCACUCAAAUGUUAUCAGGACUGAAGGGCCAUUUCAUACAAAAUAAACCUUAAAAUCCAUUUCUUGGCUGUUUCCUUUUGAACUCUCUAUUCAGCACACAUAUGAUUGGCUACAGGUUUGUACAGUAAAUUGGCCCAGUAAUAUGUCUACAGUUCAAUCUUUUUAAAUUCUUUUUAAUUUUUGGAGAUGGGGUCUCACUGUGCUGCCCAGGCUGGUCUCAAACUCCUGGUCUCAAGUGAUUCUCCCACCUUGGCCUUCCAAAGUCUUGGGAUUACAGGUGCAAGCCACUAUGCCCAGCUCAUGCCUAUAACAUUUUUAUUACCUUCAUCUGUUAGUUCCUGUUUAUGAAUAGCUGAACUGACUCACAUCAUCCUCAGUAAAACACAUGCUCCUUUUUGGGGCAAUCUUUAUAAACUUUAGGAAAAACUGUAACUGUGAAUGAAUUAUCAGUGUUUUCAUAUUUUCUGCUGAGUAUGUGUGGUAGGUUUCUGGUGCUUUGAAACUCUUGAUGCAUCUGCGGAGAGGUGAAGUUUGUGUUCCCAGCUAACCUUGUAUCUCUGACCACUUGAAUGUUACUUUUAAAAUGUGUGAUUGUUGCAGAAAGUAUUCAGGUUUCAAGUCUUCUAAUUUUACAUUUAUAUAAAAUUGAGUUCAGGAAAUAAUAAAGGGAGGUAACUCUGAAGAGAUGUUAAAUCUGUAUUUGGUUAUAGCAGCCUACUUAAGUUUGCAGGCGGGAAUGAGCAAUAAACCCUUGAAAGACACAGCCAUAUGCAGUAAUAGAUCUGUCCUCUGUUUUCCCUGAUACUUAUUUAGUUCUUCUUGAUCCCUGCCCUCAUUGGUGUGGAUUCUUGGAAACUUAUUUAAUAUUGGUCUAAGGACAUUAAAUGCUACAUAAAUAUUAUAAAGUACAGCAAAGCUAAGUGAUUCAGAGGAAUUUUAUAAAAUUUACUCUCUAUAUUGGCUUAUAUAAUAUUGACUAAUGUACAGUCUUUAUUUAUUUAUUUUUAAGGCGGGGUCUCACCAUGUUGGUCGGGCUGGUCUUGAACUCCUGACCUCAGGUGAUCCACCCGCCUUGGCCUCCAAAGUGCUAGGAUUACAGGCAUGAGCCACCGCGCCUAGCCAUACAUAGUUUUUAAAGACUGUGCAGAUAUUUUAGGCCUGAAGCUUCACUCUGGAUUCUGUCUUUGCGAAAAUGCGCAUUAGCAAUAUUGAUGUUUUCCUUAGAAAUUUCACUCUCUUGUAAAGUGAUGGCUGUGUACCAAAACAUAUUAUUGCUGUGGGCUUAGCACUUUACUAAGUCCUGAAAAUGUAUAUUUUUUAACUUGGUUGCAUGUGAUUUAAUUCUGCAUUAACACUAUAUACUCAGUAGUUACACUUUAAUGUUGCAAAAUAGCUUAUAAACUUAGUAUUAAAAUAACAAAAACAUAUUUAUUUCUAUAUCCUUUUUCAACCAGCCCCAUCAAAGCACAACAUCCAUUUUUACCUUCCUCACAGGAGUCUUCGGUGUCAGUAUACGUAUUAUGUUUUGUUUGCUUUACAGAAACUAGCAAGGAAACAAGUGAAGAGAGCCGGGUAGCCCACCCCGCUGGGGGAUCAGCAGCAAGGCUGCUGCAAACUUUGGGUAAACUCCAAGAAAAGCGAAACUGUAAUAGGGAAAUGUAUAUGUCUCAGAGAAGAGCAGUCACACCUAGGGAUAGGUAACCAGCUUUCACUGACCUUGCUGCAAGACAGUUGUUAGCUGACGUAUGUUAACUAAGGUAUGAAAAUUAUAACCACAGGCUGUUUUGGGUAAUCGCACCCUCCCUCUGCUAUGUGCUUUGUGAACAUAUAAAGUAAAUACUCUGAGGCAGGAUGGGGCCGGAAAAAAUGAUACUUUCACUUCCCCAGACCUCCUAGACCCUCUUAGGGCAUCUAGUCCAAGAACAACUUAAGUAACCAGUAUUUGUUCAUUAUUUGUACUGGAAAUUAACCAGUCAGAAACUAUCAUGCAUGUUUAUAAAUCCAGUUUUUGGGCUUUUUGUUUUUGAGACAGAGCCUUGCACUGUCACCCAGGCUGCAGUGCUAACUCUAUCCUCUGCCUCCAAGGUUCAAGUGAUUCUCCUUGCUCAGCCUACCUAGUAAGUGGGAUUACAGGCACCUGCCACCACGCCCAGCUAAUUUUUUGUAUUUUUAGUAGAGACGGAGUUUCACUAUGUUGGCUAGGCUGGUCUUGAACUCCUUACCUUGUGAUUUGUCCUCAGCCUCCUAAAGUGCUGGGAUUACAGGCACGAACCAUUGUGCCCAGCCUAUAAAGCCUGUUUUAUAUGCCUGACUUGAUUGCCCUGCAACGUUCAGUCAGGAUUUUUUUGUUGUUGAGAGUUUCACUCUUUUUUUCUAGGCUGGAGUGAAAUGGCAUGAUGGCGGCUCACUACAGCCUCUACCUCCCAGGUUCAAGUGAUUCUUGUAUUUUAGGAGGGAAAUGGCAUUUCAACAUGUUGGACAGGCUGGUCUCAAACUCUUGACUUCAGAUGAUACUCCCACCCUGGCCUCCCAAAGUGCUGGGAUUACAGGCAUGAACCACCAGGCCCAACCUCAGUCAGGAUUUUUAAAGUCACUACCCCACAAGAUUGUGCUUUGUAUAGUCUAGUUAAUCUACAGAAGGAGGACAGAUUUCUUGAAGGUUUUUUCAGUUAGUAGUAGUCCCCUGGGCAUUAAUAUUUACUGCCCUGGUUUGGGCAUGGUGGCUCACCCCUGUAAUCCCAGCACUUUGGGAGUCUGAGGCAAGUUUACUCCAUCCUGGGCAACAAGAGUGAAACUCCAUCCCCCCGAAAAUUUACUGCCCUAGUUUCUAAAGGAAUUGUCAUCCACCAUCUUCCACUUUUUUUUUCAACUUGAAAGUCUGCACUCAAAAUGGGUGCUAAGAAUAUAGACUUUCUUCUUACAUGCAGCUUAAGUAGAUAACAGUGAUCCAGAAAGUGCAGAGAUGAAUGACUCAGAACAGUAGCCCUUUAACAGGAUCUCUUUUCAUUUGCAAUUCCUUGGAAAGAGCAGAGAAAUGCCAAGGCAGCUGGAGGAAACUACACUUCAGCAUUGAUGGAGCAGGUGGUGUAUGCCCAGGUGGCUUGUCUCUUUAAAAACCAGGAAGAUUUGUUGGCAGAGUUUGGACAGUUCCUACCAGAUGCCAGCAGCUCCUCGCUUUUAAGCAAAACAACUGCUGAGAAGGUUGAUUCUGGGAGAAAUGAUUAUGGAGCCACUGUCAAGAAGCCCCAACUGAACAACAGACUGCAAAGGCCUAGCCAGAAUAACUGCCAAAUCCGCAGACACCCCAGAAACCACCCCACAGAAACCACCUCUCCAGUGAAGGUUCCCUCCUGUACCUGAAACAAGAAGAUGCUUUCUGGUGUCUCGUUACCAUAGUGGAAGUUUUCAUGCCUUGAGACUAUUACACAAAGACUCUUAUAGGAUCCCAGUUGGGCAUGGUGGCAAAUGCCUGUAAUCCCAGCUACUCGAGAGGGUAAGGCAGAAGACUGCUUGAACCUGGGAGGUGGAGGUUUCAGUGAGCCAAGAUCGCACCUGCACUGCUGCCUGGGCAACAAGAGUGAAACUCAUCUCAAAAAAAAAAGGAAUAAAAGAACAUGGUGGCUGAGAGGGUCUGGUAAGUUCAGGUAACAGUGGCCUCAGGCCACAUUCACCUCAUGUGGGCUCAAUGGAUAGAGGCCUACCCCCAACUCAAGGGAAAGGAGCCAGUGAUGGCCGCAGAGGGUUGGGGGUCUCUGGGUCCUGGGACAAUGACUUUCAAACAGCGAAGGUGAGGAGAGACACUGUUCCUGUUUUGCCCUCAUGUGCUGCCCACCUGGCUCCCCAUCUGCCAGCUCACACUCUGCACGGGCAUGACCCCAAAAGGCUGUGGUGCUCCUGCUGGAGUAGGUUUGUGGUGGGCGAGAGUGUAGGCACAGGGUAUGUGGACACCCACCUGGAAUGGAAGGGGGCUCCCCCAGUCCUGUGGCCAACUCUGUGCAGCUGUCAGUGCCUGCACCCCCAGGAGCUGUCCAGAGGGAAGAUAAAGGCGGCAGACCGGAGAGGAAAGGACACUUACUCAAAGUGCCACUCCUGCUAACUACAAGACAAGGAGCUUCGGAGAGAAGAGCAAUCACCAAGGGCCUGUGGUAGGUAUGUGGACAGCCUGCUUUGAACUGGCCCUGCCUGGACUCACCCUAAGCCAGGCUCUCCCCUCCCUGCAUAGUCCAUCAGUGAGAGUGUUCAUACUUGCUCCUUCCCAGGGAGGAAGCACCAAGGGACUGCAGCCCUCCCCUCUGCUGACUUUUUAACUCCCUCUUGCCUCCUGUCCUCACCAGCUCAGAAGGUCCCUCAGGAGCAGCACUGCAUUUUCCCACCUCCUCAGCCCUCAGGGACUUCAGCCUACUAACCUAUCCCUCCUUCUCCUGGGCCUGAGCGAGCUAAGCUCUCUUCUGGCCUUCCUAUCAGCUCAUAAAUGCAGCCAACUCUCCCUCAUCAGGAAGCACAAACAUAAAGUAAAAUUAAAAAAUUA
This is a non-coding RNA of Callithrix jacchus (white-tufted-ear marmoset), 13422 nucleotides long. The record is from RefSeq and is a predicted model, not a curated record. NCBI's taxonomy places the organism in Eukaryota, Metazoa, Chordata, Mammalia, Primates, Cebidae.